This 752-nucleotide ribosomal RNA is filed under the name uncultured organism. RNAcentral describes it as "bacterial SSU rRNA". It matches the Rfam family "Bacterial small subunit ribosomal RNA", at positions 687 to 1427 of the family's 1533-position model. The record is from RNAcentral.
UGCGUAGAUAUCGUGAGGAAGACCGGUGGCGAAGGCGAGUCUCUGGACAGAUCCUGACGCUGAGGCACGAAGGCUGGGGGAGCGAACAGGAUUAGAUACCCUGGUAGUCCCAGCAGUAAACGAUGUGAGCUUGAUGUGGGGGGAUUCGACCCCUUCCGUGUCGAAGCUAACGCGAUAAGCUCACCGCCUGAGGAGUACGGCCGCAAGGCUAAAACUCAAAGAAAUUGACGGGGACCCGCACAAGCGGUGGAGUAUGUGGCUUAAUUCGAUGCAACGCGAAGAACCUUACCUGGCCUUGACAUGCAUUGUGUCGUCGGUGAAAGCCGGCUAGUCCUGGAAACAGGACGCUUUGCACAGGUGCUGCAUGGCUGUCGUCAGCUCGUGUCGUGAGAUGUUGGGUUAAGUCCCGCAACGAGCGCAACCCUUGUGGUCAGUUACUAACCGGCUUAGCCGGAGGACUCUGGCCAGACUGCCCUGUCAAACGGGGAGGAAGGUGGGGACGACGUCAAGUCAGUAUGGCCCUUAUGGCCAGGGCUGCACACGUACUACAAUGCCCGGUACAAUGUGAACCGAAACCGCGAGGUGGAGGAAAUCGCUCUUGAAAACCGGGCCCAGUUCGGAUUGGAGUCUGCAACUCGACUCCAUGAAGUCGGAAUCGCUAGUAAUGGCGUAUCAGCAACGACGCCGUGAAUACGUUCCCGGGUCUUGUACACACCGCCCGUCACAUCAUGGAAGUCUCCUGUACCCGAAGC